This is a long non-coding RNA of Alligator sinensis (Chinese alligator), 174 nucleotides long. RefSeq lists it as uncharacterized. Lineage: Eukaryota; Metazoa; Chordata; Crocodylia; Alligatoridae. The record is from RefSeq and is a predicted model, not a curated record. The transcript has 3 exons.
UUCAAAAUCUUCUUGAUAUCAAAUGUAUCAUAUUAUGAAAAUCGUCAACUGAGAACCCUAAAAAAACAAAAUUCUGAGGUCAAAGCCACACAGCAUGAGCAAUAGUGUCUUGAACUUCCUUUAUCAAUGCCAAGCUGAAGAGACCAUCUUUACAGGUUGGCGGACCUACUCCGG